This 844-nucleotide ribosomal RNA is filed under the name uncultured bacterium. RNAcentral's name for it is "bacterial SSU rRNA". It matches the Rfam family "Bacterial small subunit ribosomal RNA", at positions 74 to 922 of the family's 1533-position model. The record is from RNAcentral.
AGUCCUUCGGGACUUGAGAGCGGCGCACGGGUGAGUAACGCGUACAUGACCUGCCUUUAAGACCGGGAUAGCCCUGGGAAACUGGGAUUAAUACCGGAUGUGAUAAUAUGUAUAGAGAUAUAUUAUUAAAGUUGAGGCGCUUAGAGAUGGGUGUGCGUUUGAUUAGCUAGUUGGUAGGGUAACGGCCUACCAAGGCGACGAUCAAUAGGGGGCGUGAGAGCGUGACCCCCCACACGGGUACUGAGACACGGACCCGACUCCUACGGGAGGCAGCAGUAAGGAAUAUUGGUCAAUGGACGGAAGUCUGAACCAGCCAUCCCGCGUGCAGGAUGAAGGUCCUAUGGAUUGUAUACUGCUUUUAGCAGAGACGAAACGCCGACAUUUAUGUUGGUCUGACGGUAUCUGCGGAAUAAGCACCGGCUAACUCCGUGCCAGCAGCCGCGGUAAUACGGAGGGUGCAAGCGUUAUCCGGAAUCACUGGGUUUAAAGGGUGCGUAGGCGGAUGAUUAAGUCAGUGGUGAAAGCUGGUCGCUUAACGAUCAAACUGCCAUUGAUACUGAUUGUCUUGAAUUGGGUUGAGGUUAGCGGAAUGUGACAUGUAGCGGUGAAAUGCAUAGAUAUGUCAUGGAACACCAAUUGCGAAGGCAGCUAACUGGGCCUUGAUUGACGCUGAGGCACGAAAGCGUGGGUAGCGAACAGGAUUAGAUACCCUGGUAGUCCACGCCCUAAACGAUGCUAACUCGAUGUUUGGACAGUAAGUUUGAGCAUCCAAGGGAAACCGAUAAGUUAGCCACCUGGGGAGUACGACCGCAAGGUUGAAACUCAAAGGAAUUGACGGGGGUCC